This 467-nucleotide ribosomal RNA is filed under the name uncultured bacterium. RNAcentral's name for it is "partial 16S ribosomal RNA". It matches the Rfam family "Bacterial small subunit ribosomal RNA", at positions 28 to 506 of the family's 1533-position model. The record is from RNAcentral.
GACGAACGCUGGCGGCGUGCUUAACACAUGCAAGUCGAACGGAAAGGCCCUGCUUUUGUGGGGUGCUCGAGUGGCGAACGGGUGAGUAACACGUGAGUAACCUGCCCUUGACUUUGGGAUAACUUCAGGAAACUGGGGCUAAUACCGGAUAGGAGCUCCUGCUGCAUGGUGGGGGUUGGAAAGUUUCGGCGGUUGGGGAUGGACUCGCGGCUUAUCAGCUUGUUGGUGGGGUAGUGGCUUACCAAGGCUUUGACGGGUAGCCGGCCUGAGAGGGUGACCGGCCACAUGGGGACUGAGAUACGGCCCAGACUCCUACGGGAGGCAGCAGUGGGGAAUAUUGCACAAUGGGCGGAAGCCUGAUGCAGCAACGCCGCGUGCGGGAUGACGGCCUUCGGGUUGUAAACCGCUUUCGCCUGUGACGAAGCGUGAGUGACGGGAAUGGGUAAAGAAGCACCGGCGAACUACGU